Molecule: ribosomal RNA, 471 nt
Filed under: uncultured crenarchaeote
Lineage: Archaea; Thermoproteati; Thermoproteota
Description: bacterial SSU rRNA
Rfam family: Archaeal small subunit ribosomal RNA
Source: RNAcentral
UCGCUAUAGGGGUAGGGUUAAGCCAUGGGAGUCGUACGCUCUCGGGAAGAGGGCGUGGCGGACGGCUGAGUAACACGUGGCUAACCUAACCUUGGGUCUCGGAUAACCCCGGGAAACUGGGGCUAAUCCGGGGCAGAUAAGGAGAUCUGGAACGACUCCUUAUCCAAAGGCCUCUCGGCUGAUCCCGUCGAGAGGUGCCCAAGGAUGGGGCUGCGGCCCAUCAGGCUGUUGGGGGAGUAAAGGUCCCCCAAACCUAUAACGGGUAGGGGCCGUGGGAGCGGGAGCCCCCAGUUGGGCACUGAGACAAGGGCCCAGGCCCUACGGGGCGCACCAGGCGCGGAACGUCCCCAAUGCGGGAAACCGUGAGGGCAUUACCCCUAGUGCCCUCGCAAGAGGGCUUUUCUCCACUCCAGAAAGGUGGAGGAAUAAGCGGGGGGCAAGACUGGUGUCAGCCGCCGCGGUAAAACCAGC